CCAGUGAUAAGCUUGGAAGUGUGGAAACUUAAACCUACCUUCACUAAUAGGUACUUGCAGUUUACAAAGUGAAUAUCUGGGUGGAACUCCUAACCAUAAAGAAGUUGUUAAUUAAUUUGUUCACAUGCUUAAAAUAUGAUGAUGUUGUUUAUUCAAACACUAGCCUGAAAAUAUCAAAAAAUAAUUAAAUCAAAUAUUCACUACAGAGAGAGAGAGAGAGAGAGAGAGAAAGAGAAAGAGAAAACACCCAAUAUACAAAUGUGGACAUGAGAUCUGAAGGUUAAUGGUAAGCAUAAGACUUACAGAGUGAUCUACAUGGUUAUGUUUACCCUCACAACAACCCUGUGAUGUAGGUUAGGCUGAGAGAUAAGUGACUAACCCAGAGUCGGUGAGUGACUUUCAUGGCUGGAUUUGAAUUCAGAUCUCCCCAGUCAGAACAUUGUGUGGAACUAUGUAUUAAAGCCAAAUCUGCGUUAUCAGAGACUUAGGCAUUGGUAUAGUAAAAUAUUUAUUUAUAUAAUUAAUUUAUUUAUCUCUUGCCCUUCCAAAAUAUUUUCUUAAAUCAGGAUGACUUAGGACAUAUUAAAAUAAUAGCAAAUUGUGAACAUGUAUGGCUAUGUCUCAGAGAUAUAACAUUUUCUGUUUCUACAUUUUAAACUAAUAAAAGCAUUUAUAAAAUCAAAUUAAAUUAAAUCAAAAUAAAAGCAAAGUUUAGAAGCAUUAAAAUAUCAAAGCGAGAGUUCAAAUAGCAGCAGAAAAGCAGUCAAUACAUUUAAAAGGCCUGAGAAAGUUAAAAAAAAUUGUCAGGCACCAGAAUGAUAUUAAAGUAGACACCAGAUGAGCUUCUACAGAGAGUGUUCCUCAGGCUGGACACCAGUGUUGUUUCAGAAUACAGUAAGGGUAUUCACACAACCUACUGGGCAAAGCAGGAGUGGGGAGAAGGUGAGAUUCCACCUACUUUCCUCCAAGAUGAUAAGGCAUGCAAGCAAGAUGCAGUGCUCGGUCAAGAAGCCCAAGCCCACAUUUGAUCCUGGGUGUGUGAUUUUAGCCUCAGCUAAGAGCCAGGCUAUGGAGCCAGGUUUGCCAGCGCAGCAUCCUAGCUUGCCUGCUUGUGAGAACAGCCUUAGUAUUUGUGCAAGAGAUUAAAGAUAGUACACAAGAGGUUGGCAAGUUACCAUAUGGAUGUGCUCUCAAUACAUCGGAGGGAGAGAAAGAUAGAGAGAAUGGUAAAAUUAAUUUAGGUACGAUAAAGCUGAAGUGAUAUAGACAAAACCAUAUAAUGCAGUGAUUCUCAAACCUGGACAUGUUGUUGGACUACUAUUCCCAUUGUUUGUAGCCACAAUGGCCCAACAGCAUCUGGGGAUCCAAAUUUCAGAACCUCUGAUAUAAUGGAUACAGAUUUAUUACUUUUAAUUAACUUUAAAUGGUUUGCAAUAAAAGAGGUAUAAAAUAAUUUAUUCAGUUAAUGGACUGAAGGACUCAGAGGCACCUCCAUCUUGUUGGGGCCCUCAGAUACUGAAGCAAGUUCUCUGAUUGGGUGAGGAAUUAGACAAUAGAAGACCAAGGAGAGAGAAAUGUGGGAGAGAUUGGAGGAGGUUUUUCAACAGAAAACUAUGACCAGUCAAGUCUCUCUCAUGAUGUAGUUGUGCAACAAAAAUUCAAAGGAGGAGAAAAGUUACAAGAGCACAUAAGCUCUUUCUUGAGAGUGUUGAAAUAAUUAAUAAUAGCAAGAGAUAAGAUUACCUGAACCAGCCAAAAUUGGGCUAUUGGUAAAUACUUUGCCUAAGCUUUAUGGAAGUAUUAUUAACUUGCUGAACAUAAAGGAGACUGUGACUUUAAGUUUUGUAUAAGAAUGUUGGCGUUUAAUCUGAGAGAACAAACAGAAAGGAUAGAAACAGUCCAGAAUUAUGCUCAUAAACAGUCCAGAAUUAUGCUCAUAAACUUACUAAUGGCAGCUAAUGUUUUGUGUGCAGAAGUACUUCACAUUUAAAGAGUACAUUUCCUAAAAGAGAUCAGACAAACAAUUUCCAAGAGAGGAAGAAAGACAAGGAUAAAUCUCAGAAAGGUGGAUUUUUAAAUAAUAAUAUAUUUUAAUAAUAUAUAUACAGUAUAUAGUUGCUGUAGGAGAAAAAUGAAGUAUUGAUGAAACUCAGAGUAUGUGAACAGAGUCACUAACAGAUUUGGUAAGAAACCUAAGACUUUGCAUACUGACAAUAGUGAUGAAUAUUGCAGAAAUGACAUUGAGCAUAUUUAAAAGAAUGGAGAAUUAACCAUAAAAGAACUAUUCCCUAUGCUCCAGAACAAAAUGGAGUUGCUGAGAGGAAAAAUAGGUCUUUACUGGAAAUGUGCAGAAGGAUGCUUCUUGAUGCAGGACUGGAGAAGAAGUACUGGGCGGAAGCUAUUAAGACAGCAAGAUAUGUCAAUUACUUCUGGAAGAAGGAUUUAGACAGGGAAAAGCUGAUCCUUGUCUGUCCACUAGAUAUAGAGAUAGAAGAUGGACAUAGAUUCUUAUAUGUAGAUGAUCUGAUUGUCAUCAGGAUAAGAAAUAUUAUGAUGAGAGUGGAGAGUUUAAAUAAAGAAGUAGAAAUUAAAGAUUUGGGUGAAGUAUCUCAGGAUACAAAUAAAAAGGUGAGAUGAUGGAAGUUUUAAACUCAAUUAGAGGUAAAAGAUAAUAGACAAUUGAGUGUCUUGGUUUAACAGAGGCAAAUGAGAUGAGUACUCCAAUGGAAGUGGGUUUCUUAAACGAGAAGUAAUUCAGUGAGUCUCUGGAAAGCAAUCAAAACUACAGAAUGGGAAUUGGAAAGUUACUGUUCAUUACAACCGUAUUGCAUCCUGAUAUUGCAGCAACAUUUGGAAUAUUGUGUAGGAAAAUUAAUUCACCAACAAAGAAGGACUGGGUUGCACUUAAAAGAAUUGCACAGUAUCUAAAGGGCACAGCAAAUAUAGAAUUAGUAUUGUCAGCAACCCAAGUUAGUAGGAUAUAUGGUUGUCAACUGAGCAGAAGAAAGAGAUGACAGAAAGUCAACUAAUGGCAAUGCAUUGUUCUAUGGAGGAGGAGCAAUCUCAUGGUUAACCAAGAAACAAUCUAUUGUAGUUUUAUCUUCAGCCAAAGCUGAGUAUAUAUCCAUGGCACAAGCUUGUCAAGAGGGUAUUUGGUUGCAUAAAUUUCUAGAAGAUUUUAGGGUAGUUGCAUUGAAGCUGACAAUAGUGUAUGAAGACAAUCAAGGUUGUAUUAUUCUGUCACAAAGUGAGAAGGUUACACAGAGAAGUAAACAUAGUGAUAUGAAAUAUCAUUUAGUAAGAUAAUUACAAGAGGAAAAUAUUAUUGAUAUAAAAUAUUGUGCUUCAGAAGAAAUGUUGCAGACAUUGAGAACACGAUUAGCCAGGGGCAAGUAUCAAAGUCUGUGGAUGACAAUUGGGUUUAUAAAUUAAGGAACAAAACAAUGACAAGGGGAAUGUUGGGAUUUAUGUGUAUAUACAUUGUCUUUGUUCUUGCCACUGAUGCAUUGUAUGUACUGUAUAUCUGUGUAUAGGCUUGGGAUAACGUUUAGAAGGUUUGUGUCAAUCAUCAGUUCUGUAGACUGAUUGGUUAGUUUGUAUUUCUUACUGGAUGCUUGAGACUGAUCUUUCCUGUAAGGAAGAUCUUUCACUCAGAGUAGGACUGUUGUUUUAUUAUGUAGUAAUAGUUAAAUAAUAAACCUUAGCAACUUUGUUCAAUAAACUCAA
Molecule: long non-coding RNA, 3726 nt
Organism: Hemicordylus capensis (graceful crag lizard)
Lineage: Eukaryota; Metazoa; Chordata; Lepidosauria; Squamata; Cordylidae
Exons: 2
Source: RefSeq, a predicted model, not a curated record